Megalops cyprinoides (Indo-Pacific tarpon) is the source of this 408-nucleotide non-coding RNA. Lineage: Eukaryota; Metazoa; Chordata; Actinopteri; Elopiformes; Megalopidae. The record is from the annotation of a RefSeq genome assembly.
AUGUUUCCUGCAUCUCUGCUGCUGCUUCUAGCAGCUGCAUCCUAUGUUCACUGUGUUGAACUCACCCAGCCAGGUUCUAUGGUUGUGAAGCCAGGACAGUCUCUGACCAUCUCCUGUAAAGUCUCUGGAUAUUCUGUGACUGAUAGCAGCUAUGGUACAGGAUGGAUUCGACAGCCUGCAGGGAAAGUAAUGGAGUGGAUCGGACAUAUGUAUGGUGGUGGGAGCAUUAUUUCCAAAGAUUCUCUGAAAAACAAGUUCAGCAUCUCCAGAGACACCUCCAGCAGCACAGUGUCACUGCAAGGCAGCAGCCUGCAGACUGAAGACACAGCUGUGUAUUACUGUGUCCGAUACCGACACACUGCAGUAAACCUACAGCAGGCCUGUACAAAAACCUACCCUGAUGAGUAA